RNAcentral lists this small RNA (195 nucleotides) under Pseudomonas sp. LP_7_YM. Its description in RNAcentral is "Pseudomonas sRNA P16". It matches the Rfam family "RgsA sRNA". From Rfam's summary of the family: P16 sRNA appears to be conserved across several Pseudomonas species and Azotobacter vinelandii. The record is from RNAcentral. Lineage: Bacteria; Pseudomonadati; Pseudomonadota; Gammaproteobacteria; Pseudomonadales; Pseudomonadaceae.
CAAGAAUAUCUUGGGUAUUCCAAAACUGUUUAAAAAAUGUACAGCUCGGGCUGGACGCCUUUGGAAUAUGACCAAUACUUAAAUUCGCUGAUGCAGCAUCUCCCCCAAGUGCAACAUCGGUAAAGGCACCCAUGGAUAGCGUGUCUUUGUUUUACUCCUAAUGGUCUUAACCCGGAUUCCCCCCCCAGAACCCGG